Molecule: long non-coding RNA, 574 nt
Filed under: Pan troglodytes (chimpanzee)
Lineage: Eukaryota; Metazoa; Chordata; Mammalia; Primates; Hominidae
Description: lincRNA
Source: RNAcentral
AGUGAACCACUGAGUUCGCACUGUGGCCAGUCCUGUGUGCCCCUGCUGGAUUCUACUUCUAUGAGGGAGGCAGCAAGGAGUUGGGACUUCACAGGUGAAAGGACUUGCCAGGGUCUUACUUUGUCGCCCAGGCUGGAGUACAGUGGCAUGAUCAUAGCUCAUUGCAGCCUCCACCUCCCUGGGCUCAGGAGAUCCAUCUCAGCCUCCUGAGUAGCUGGGACCACAGGUUUUGUUCAGGUUUAGCACAAGCUGUGAUGAAUAUCUUCAAGCCUCUGCUUCCUGCUGUGGAAUUGUUGCCAAAGGACACAUUCCCAGAUGGGAUUACUGAGUCAGAGGAAGUGGACAUUGAGUGGCUCUCAACAGACAGGCUGUGUUGCUCUCACAGUGCCCAGGUACCACCAGCAAUGUAUACACAUACAGGAAGCGCCGGCUUCCCUGUUGUCUUGUUGCCGUGGCGUGUUGGGGUCUCUAAGACCACCCUGGGUUUGUUGAUUGGCUAGGAGAACUCGCAGAACUCAGCAUACAGUGAUACUCGAGGCUAUGAUGUAUUACGACAACUGGAAAUGAAGCAAAU